RNAcentral lists this ribosomal RNA (301 nucleotides) under uncultured bacterium. RNAcentral describes it as "partial 16S ribosomal RNA". It matches the Rfam family "Bacterial small subunit ribosomal RNA", at positions 509 to 807 of the family's 1533-position model. The record is from RNAcentral.
CAGUCGCCGCGGUAAUACAGAGGGUGCAAGCGUUAAUCGGAAUUACUGGGCGUAAAGCGCGCGUAGGUGGUUUGUUAAGUUGGAUGUGAAAUCCCCGGGCUCAACCUGGGAACUGCAUCCAAAACUGGCAAGCUAGAGUAUGGUAGAGGGUGGUGGAAUUUCCUGUGUAGCGGUGAAACGCGUAGAUAUAGGAAGGAACACCAGUGGCGAAGGCGACCACCUGGACUGAUACUGACACUGAGGUGCGAAAGCGUGGGGAGCAAACAGGAUUAGAUACCCCCGUAGUCCCUGUCUCUUAUAC